RNAcentral lists this ribosomal RNA (914 nucleotides) under Salmonella enterica subsp. enterica serovar Oranienburg. Its description in RNAcentral is "bacterial LSU rRNA". It matches the Rfam family "Bacterial large subunit ribosomal RNA", at positions 690 to 1524 of the family's 2925-position model. Lineage: Bacteria; Pseudomonadati; Pseudomonadota; Gammaproteobacteria; Enterobacterales; Enterobacteriaceae. The record is from RNAcentral.
GGGCGUUAAGUUGCAGGGUAUAGACCCGAAACCCGGUGAUCUAGCCAUGGGCAGGUUGAAGGUUGGGUAACACUAACUGGAGGACCGAACCGACUAAUGUUGAAAAAUUAGCGGAUGACCUGUGGCUGGGGGUGAAAGGCCAAUCAAACCGGGAGAUAGCUGGUUCUCCCCGAAAGCUAUUUAGGUAGCGCCUCGUGAAUUCAUCUCCGGGGGUAGAGCACUGUUUCGGCUAGGGGGCCAUCCCGGCUUACCAACCCGAUGCAAACUGCGAAUACCGGAGAAUGUUAUCACGGGAGACACACGGCGGGUGCUAACGUCCGUCGUGAAGAGGGAAACAACCCAGACCGCCAGCUAAGGUCCCAAAGUCAUGGUUAAGUGGGAAACGAUGUGGGAAGGCCCAGACAGCCAGGAUGUUGGCUUAGAAGCAGCCAUCAUUUAAAGAAAGCGUAAUAGCUCACUGGUCGAGUCGGCCUGCGCGGAAGAUGUAACGGGGCUAAACCAUGCACCGAAGCUGCGGCAGCGAACGUAUCACUUAAAGCGAUUCAGCGGAUGACGAUUGACGGAGCGAAGCGACGUCAAAGCGUAUACAAAGUCGAGUCGGUUUAAGGAUACGUUCGUUGGGUAGGGGAGCGUUCUGUAAGCCUGCGAAGGUGGCCUGUGAGGGUUGCUGGAGGUAUCAGAAGUGCGAAUGCUGACAUAAGUAACGAUAAAGCGGGUGAAAAGCCCGCUCGCCGGAAGACCAAGGGUUCCUGUCCAACGUUAAUCGGGGCAGGGUGAGUCGACCCCUAAGGCGAGGCCGAAAGGCGUAGUCGAUGGGAAACGGGUUAAUAUUCCCGUACUUGGUGUUACUGCGAAGGGGGGACGGAGAAGGCUAUGUUGGCCGGGCGACGGUUGUCCCGGUUUAAGCGUAUAGG